CAACUUCACCAAGAGUUGCCUCCCCAAAAGCCGUUCCUCCAAAGCCGCCUUCUCCAAGAGCAGACCCACUAAGAUUGGAUACUCCAAGACCACCUUCGCCAAAGCCUCCUUCCCCAAGGGAUGCUUCUCCAAGAACAGACACAUCAAGGUUGAAUACACCAAGACCUCCUUCUCCAAGAGAAGCUUCUCCAAGAGCAGACCCACCAAAGUUGGAUACUCCAAGACCUCCUUCCCCAAAGCCUCCUUCUCCAAGAGCAGAACCACCAAGAUUGGAUGCUCCAAGACCUACAACGCCUAAGCCCCCUUCUCCAAGAGCGGUUUCGCCUAGGGC
RNAcentral lists this long non-coding RNA (331 nucleotides) under Eutrema salsugineum. RNAcentral's name for it is "long non-coding RNA (ESAL_LNC001007)". The record is from RNAcentral. Lineage: Eukaryota; Viridiplantae; Streptophyta; Magnoliopsida; Brassicales; Brassicaceae.